Molecule: ribosomal RNA, 253 nt
Filed under: uncultured bacterium
Lineage: Bacteria
Description: partial 16S ribosomal RNA
Rfam family: Bacterial small subunit ribosomal RNA
Source: RNAcentral
UACAGAGGGGGCAAGCGUUGUUCGGAAUUACUGGGCGUAAAGGGCGCGCAGGCGGCCUUCUAAGUCGAACGUGAAAUCCCCGGGCUCAACCUGGGAACUGCGUCCGAUACUGGAAGGCUUGAAUCCGGGAGAGGGAUGCGGAAUUCCAGGUGUAGCGGUGAAAUGCGUAGAUAUGUGGAAGAACACCUGUGGCGAAAGCGGUUUUCUAGCUUAUACCUGACGCUGAGGCGCGAGAGCAAGGGGAGCAAACAGG